AGCUUUUUGAAUCCGUGCUGAGAUUUCGUCAGACACCAACCCAUUAUGGCUAAUGAGACUUUCAAGAUAAGUGAAGUU
This 78-nucleotide microRNA precursor is filed under the name Schistosoma mansoni. RNAcentral's name for it is "mir-3492 microRNA precursor family". It matches the Rfam family "mir-3492 microRNA precursor family". The record is from Rfam by way of RNAcentral. Lineage: Eukaryota; Metazoa; Platyhelminthes; Trematoda; Strigeidida; Schistosomatidae.